Molecule: non-coding RNA, 76 nt
Organism: Podarcis lilfordi (Lilford's wall lizard)
Lineage: Eukaryota; Metazoa; Chordata; Lepidosauria; Squamata; Lacertidae
Source: the annotation of a GenBank genome assembly
ACCCCUGGGUUGGCUCAGUUGGCAGAGCACGAAACUCUUAAUCUCAUGGUCUUGGGUUCAAGCCCCACAUUGGGCA